RNAcentral lists this ribosomal RNA (465 nucleotides) under Vreelandella stevensii. Its description in RNAcentral is "partial 16S ribosomal RNA". It matches the Rfam family "Bacterial small subunit ribosomal RNA", at positions 338 to 795 of the family's 1533-position model. Lineage: Bacteria; Pseudomonadati; Pseudomonadota; Gammaproteobacteria; Oceanospirillales; Halomonadaceae. The record is from RNAcentral.
CCUACGGAGUGCUGCAGUGGGGAAUAUUGGACAAUGGGCGAAAGCCUGAUCCAGCCAUGCCGCGUGUGUGAAGAAGGCCUUCGGGUUGUAAAGCACUUUCAGUGGGGAAGAAAGCCUUGGGGCUAAUACCCUCGAGGAAGGACAUCACCCACAGAAGAAGCACCGGCUAACUCCGUGCCAGCAGCCGCGGUAAUACGGAGGGUGCGAGCGUUAAUCGGAAUUACUGGGCGUAAAGCGCGCGUAGGCGGUCUGAUAAGCCGGUUGUGAAAGCCCCGGGCUCAACCUGGGAACGGCAUCCGGAACUGUCAGGCUAGAGUGCAGGAGAGGAAGGUAGAAUUCCCGGUGUAGCGGUGAAAUGCGUAGAGAUCGGGAGGAAUACCAGUGGCGAAGGCGGCCUUCUGGACUGACACUGACGCUGAGGUGCGAAAGCGUGGGUAGCAAACAGGAUUAGAUACCCGAGUAGUC